This 456-nucleotide long non-coding RNA is filed under the name Vigna radiata. Its description in RNAcentral is "long non-coding RNA (VRAD_LNC015535)". Lineage: Eukaryota; Viridiplantae; Streptophyta; Magnoliopsida; Fabales; Fabaceae. The record is from RNAcentral.
GCGGAUUCCAUCAUCUCACUGUCAUCACAAAUCGCGCAUCAUCAACAUCGUACAACAACUAUCGCCAUCAAUGUCGCACCACCACGCCGCCGGUGACCUUCACCCAACAGUCUCGCCAUCACAAACAGCACAAUCUCCAUGCGCCACCAUCACCUGCAGAAACCCAAUUCGCACCAUGGUCGUUGCGACUCCACCAUCUUCGCACUUCUUCCGCGCCAUCUUGUUGCGUCUUGAAGAAAUCUCCUCCAUCACCGCAUAAGAACCUGCAUCAAAACCAGACCUGCAAUAAACCCAGCAAUCGCAGAAAUAAUCGCGCCUUGAAGAAACCAUGCGAGUUCUUCAACUCUCUCCAUGACGGCGCAGACGCAGGGGCAAGGGGGGAAGCACCUUCCCUAAUCUGAAACCCUAAUUUGGGAGGAAAAGGGGGCUGACACGUGGCACGCUAUCAUUGGCCNC